Molecule: ribosomal RNA, 773 nt
Filed under: uncultured bacterium
Lineage: Bacteria
Description: bacterial SSU rRNA
Rfam family: Bacterial small subunit ribosomal RNA
Source: RNAcentral
AGAGUUUGAUCCUGGCUCAGGACGAACGCUGGCGGCGUGCUUAACACAUGCAAGUCGAACGGAAAGGCCCUUCGGGGUACUCGAGUGGCGAACGGGUGAGUAACACGUGGGUGAUCUGCCCUGCACUUUGGGAUAAGCCUGGGAAACUGGGUCUAAUACCGAAUAGGACCGCGCUCUUCAUGGGGUGUGGUGGAAAGCUUUUGCGGUGUGGGAUGGGCCCGCGGCCUAUCAGCUUGUUGGUGGGGUAAUGGCCUACCAAGGCGACGACGGGUAGCCGGCCUGAGAGGGUGACCGGCCACACUGGGACUGAGAUACGGCCCAGACUCCUACGGGAGGCAGCAGUGGGGAAUAUUGCACAAUGGGCGCAAGCCUGAUGCAGCGACGCCGCGUGAGGGAUGACGGCCUUCGGGUUGUAAACCUCUUUCAAUAGGGACGAAGCGCAAGUGACGGUACCUAUAGAAGAAGGACCGGCCAACUACGUGCCAGCAGCCGCGGUAAUACGUAGGGUCCGAGCGUUGUCCGGAAUUACUGGGCGUAAAGAGCUCGUAGGUGGUUUGUCGCGUUGUUCGUGAAAACUCACAGCUUAACUGUGGGCGUGCGGGCGAUACGGGCAGACUAGAGUACUGCAGGGGAGACUGGAAUUCCUGGUGUAGCGGUGGAAUGCGCAGAUAUCAGGAGGAACACCGGUGGCGAAGGCGGGUCUCUGGGCAGUAACUGACGCUGAGGAGCGAAGGCGUGGGGAGCGAACAGGAUUAGAUACCCUGGUAGUCCAA